GCCUGCCCAGUGACCCUGUUUAACGGCCGCGGUAUCCUAACCGUGCGAAGGUAGCGUAAUCACUUGUUCUCUAAAUGUGGACUAGUAUGAACGGCAUCACGAGGGUUAUACUGUCUCCUUUUUCUAAUCAGUGAAACUAACUUCCCCGUGAAGAGGCGGGGAUAAAACUAUAAGACGAGAAGACCCUAUGGAGCUUUAAACAACAUAGCACUUGCCGCAUAAUAAAAAUCUCCGGAUCUCUUACUCCAAGGCAAUAUGACUAUUAGUUUUUGGUUGGGGUGACCGCGGAGCAAAAUUUAACCUCCACAUUGAAAACUUUAAGCUGAGAAUCACCUUUCUAGGCAUCAAUAUAUUGACACUAAUUGAUCCAAUACAUUUGAACAACGAACCAAGUUACCCUAGGGAUAACAGCGCA
RNAcentral lists this ribosomal RNA (415 nucleotides) under Nectophrynoides cf. viviparus HCL-2014. RNAcentral's name for it is "partial 16S ribosomal RNA". It matches the Rfam family "Bacterial large subunit ribosomal RNA", at positions 1857 to 2484 of the family's 2925-position model. Lineage: Eukaryota; Metazoa; Chordata; Amphibia; Anura; Bufonidae. The record is from RNAcentral.